AAUAGAUACCCCGGUAGUCCAUGCCGUAAACGUUGGGCGCUAGAUGUGGGGACCAUUCCACGGUUUCCGUGUCGCAGCUAACGCAUUAAGCGCCCCGCCUGGGGAGUACGGCCGCAAGGCUAAAACUCAAAGGAAUUGACGGGGGCCCGCACAAGCGGCGGAGCAUGCGGAUUAAUUCGAUGCAACGCGAAGAACCUUACCAAGGCUUGACAUAUACGAGAACGCUCUAGAAAUAGAGAACUCUUUGGACACUCGUAUACAGGUGGUGCAUGGUUGUCGUCAGCUCGUGUCGUGAGAUGUUGGGUUAAGUCCCGCAACGAGCGCAACCCUCGUUCUAUGUUGCCAGCGGUUUCGGCCGGGAACUCAUAGGAGACUGCCGGGGUCAAACUCGGAGGAAGGUGGGGAUGACGUCAAAUCAUCAUGCCCCUUAUGUCUUGGGCUUCACGCAUGCUACAAUGGCCAGUACAAAGGGCUGCAAUACCGUAAGGUGGAGCGAAUCCCAAAAAGCCGGUCUCAGUUCGGAUUGAGGU
Molecule: ribosomal RNA, 530 nt
Filed under: uncultured bacterium
Lineage: Bacteria
Description: bacterial SSU rRNA
Rfam family: Bacterial small subunit ribosomal RNA
Source: RNAcentral